UCGUAACAAGGUUUCCGUAGGUGAACCUGCGGAAGGAUCAUUACCGAGUGCGGGUCUUUAUGGCCCAACCUCCCACCCGUGACUAUUGUACCUUGUUGCUUCGGCGGGCCCGCCAGCGUUGCUGGCCGCCGGGGGGCGACUCGCCCCCGGGCCCGUGCCCGCCGGAGACCCCAACAUGAACCCUGUUCUGAAAGUUUGCAGUCUGAGUGUGAUUCUUUGCAAUCAGUUAAAACUUUCAACAAUGGAUCUCUUGGUUCCGGCAUCGAUGAAGAACGCAGCGAAAUGCGAUAACUAAUGUGAAUUGCAGAAUUCAGUGAAUCAUCGAGUCUUUGAACGCACAUUGCGCCCCCUGGUAUUCCGGGGGGCAUGCCUGUCCGAGCGUCAUUGCUGCCCUCAAGCCCGGCUUGUGUGUUGGGCCCUCGUCCCCCGGCUCCCGGGGGACGGGCCCGAAAGGCAGCGGCGGCACCGCGUCCGGUCCUCGAGCGUAUGGGGCUUCGUCUUCCGCUCCGUAGGCCCGGCCGGCGCCCGCCGACGCAUUUUUUUGCAACUUGUUCUUUUUCCAGGUUGACCUCGGAUCAGGUAGGGAUACCCGCUGAACUUAAGCAUAUCAAUAAGCGGAGGA
RNAcentral lists this unclassified non-coding RNA (622 nucleotides) under Aspergillus alabamensis. Its description in RNAcentral is "sequence contains 18S rRNA gene, ITS1, 5.8S rRNA gene, ITS2, 28S rRNA gene". The stretch from base 231 to 384 matches the Rfam family "5.8S ribosomal RNA". The record is from RNAcentral. Lineage: Eukaryota; Fungi; Ascomycota; Eurotiomycetes; Eurotiales; Aspergillaceae.